Molecule: ribosomal RNA, 433 nt
Filed under: uncultured bacterium
Lineage: Bacteria
Description: partial 16S ribosomal RNA
Rfam family: Bacterial small subunit ribosomal RNA
Source: RNAcentral
AACGAACGCUGGCGGCAUGCCUAACACAUGCAAGUCGAACGAUACCUUCGGGUCUAGUGGCGCACGGGUGCGUAACGCGUGGUAACCUGCCCUUAGGUUCGGAAUAACUCCCCGAAAGGGGUGCUAAUACCGGAUAAUGUCUUCGGACCAAAGAUUUAUCGCCUUUGGAUGGGCCCGCGUUGGAUUAGCUAGUUGGUAGGGUAAAAGCCUACCAAGGCGACGAUCCAUAGCUGGUCUGAGAGGAUGAUCAGCCACACUGGGACUGAGACACGGCCCAGACUACUACGGGAGGAAGCAGUGGGGAAUAUUGGACAAUGGGCGAAAGCCUGAUCAAGCAAUGACGCGUGAGUGAUGAAGGCAUUAGGGUUGUAAAGCUCUUUUAAACGGGAUGAUAAUGGCAGUACCGGGAGAAUAAGCGCCGGCUAACUACGUG